CACACUCACUGACUUAGGGCUUUUCUCGUGAAUUUUGCUUCAUUGCACUCUAUUUUUAAAGAAAUUGGAAGAAUUAGAAAAAGAAGAAGAGCUGAGAACAGCUGCUGGAGAGUAUGACAGUGUAUCUGAGAGUGAAGACGAAGAGAUGCUGGAAAUCCGACAGCUGGCAAAGCAGAUUCGAGAGAAAAAGAAGUUGAAAAUUCUGGAGUCCAAAGAAAAGAAUACACAGGGACCCAGGAUGCCGCGAACUGCUAAGAAGGUUCAGAGGACAGUUUUGGAGAAGGAGAUGCGUAGUCUUGGUGUUGACAUGGACGAUAAAGAUGACGCCCACUACGCAGUCCAGGCAAGAAGAUCCCGGAGCAUCACUAGGAAAAGAAAGCGGGAAGACUCUGCUCCUCCGUCCUCUGUGGCCCGGAGUGGGAGUUGCUCUCGAACUCCACGUGAUGUUUCUGGUCUUAGGGAUGUCAAGAUGGUGAAGAAAGCCAAGACUAUGAUGAAGAAUGCUCAGAAGAAGAUGAAUCGGUUGGGGAAGAAAGGGGAGGCGGAUAGACACGUAUUUGAUAUGAAGCCCAAGCACUUGCUGUCUGGGAAG
This 592-nucleotide small RNA is filed under the name Pan troglodytes (chimpanzee). RNAcentral describes it as "processed transcript". Lineage: Eukaryota; Metazoa; Chordata; Mammalia; Primates; Hominidae. The record is from RNAcentral.